GGGCGCGUAGCUCAGUGGUAGAGCGCUUCACUGACAUUGAAGAGGUCGGAGGUUCGAGUCCUCCCGCGCCCA
Molecule: transfer RNA, 72 nt
Filed under: Candidatus Parcubacteria bacterium
Lineage: Bacteria; Candidatus Parcubacteria
Description: tRNA-Val
Rfam family: tRNA
About the family: Transfer RNA (tRNA) molecules are approximately 80 nucleotides in length. Their secondary structure includes four short double-helical elements and three loops (D, anti-codon, and T loops).
Source: RNAcentral